This 1505-nucleotide unclassified non-coding RNA is filed under the name Leishmania donovani. Its description in RNAcentral is "gene:unknown". Lineage: Eukaryota; Euglenozoa; Kinetoplastea; Trypanosomatida; Trypanosomatidae. The record is from RNAcentral.
GACGAAAGAACGGCGAAACAUCGGUAAGUCACAACGUGAACAUGCUUUUUUUUUUGGUUGUUUGCAGCACCUCCCCCUAUCCCGCCGAUGUGUGAACGCUUGCCAGCGCGCGUCUCUCGCUCUCGCCCACCUGCGUCUUAGCAUAUGUGCGCGCGUGUGCAGCAGAGGGGGCAUAGGGGUGCUAAUGUGGCUCGAUGGCCGUCGUCACACACACCCUCCUCUUCCACAGCGACCGGCCGUCUUCUCGUUGUUUGAAUAGUGACGAUCGAUCUGCCCUCCCCCUUUUGUUGUCAUGGACAUCGUACAGCAACUCUUUCGGUGCGUGUUCGGCGCUCUGAGUCCGUCAUGGCGGGGGCGACACCGCUCAGUGCUUCGUACCUCAGGGUCCAGCACGCCCGCUCUCUGUGUCGGGAAGCCAAGCAGCCCCUUAUGUCCCUGCCGAUGCCAGACCACCUCUGGCGCAGACAGGGUCAAGCACCCCACGGCGCAAGGAGGGGCCAGAGCGAGCCGCGACAGUGCAGACGUGUGCGCCAUCCAUGGGAUGGGCAAUGCGCCAGCCUGACCCGCACCUACCUCACCAGGCCCUCACACUGCCCUGCCGGUGGGGUGGUGGGGAGCCUGGGCCACCCCGAUGGCGGCACCGCGUGGCGACCGGCACAAUGGGAGCGGCUGUGCGGCGACCUGCGAGGCGGGGAUGGUGGGCGGAGUCUGAGUCCGAGGCGAUGCUCCUAUGAAUGAGUAGGCGCAUCGCUGUAACGUGUGCGUGUGUGUGCGCGUGUUCGGCUGCUUCGCACGACGCGGAUGGGGGCCUGUGACAGGGCUGGUGUGUGUGUGUGUGGUGUGCGUGUGGUGGUGGGGAGGUGCAGCUUAGUUUGACCUCAUGCUCUAUGGCCGGAGUACUGCACACGACGAAGGAAGAGGAGAAAAGGGUGCGCUGGACGGGAAAAGGGGUAUAGCGGCAGUGACAUCGCGCUGUCGUCGCGCCACCCAUUUGGUCGCCCCGGAACAGACUACAGCACAGAAGACGAUUUAUUUCCUUAGUGGCGAACAUGCCGCUGUUGCGUGCACGGUAGCUCUACGACGGACUCAGGCGAACGCACAUUGAGGGAGCGUGUGCUUACAAAGUCCUGUGUCGGGCCCGCACGCACACGCACCCACCACCCGACACCAGUGGUGCCGGUGGUCUCGUAUUGUGCUAGUCGUCAAGAGAGAACCAUGCGUUGCCUCUUCUCUUUUCUCUGCCCGCCGUCCACGGGCCAUGAGCGGGGCCGCGUAUGCGUGACCGCCAACGGCGUCUCCCUUUCCUGCUGCUGCUGCUCGAAUAUGUUUUCCACUGCGCCUCGCUCGCUCUCCUCCGUGGAUCAUGGUUGGCAGCUGGCAUACUCUUGUUUCUUUCUCCACACACUGGCAUUUUCUUUUUCCGGGGAACGCACGUGCAUGCACACAUGUUAACGCACUGCACUAUCUGACGCUGUCUCCCGCUUUCUCACACUUUUCGCACGCAG